Molecule: ribosomal RNA, 374 nt
Filed under: uncultured bacterium
Lineage: Bacteria
Description: bacterial SSU rRNA
Rfam family: Bacterial small subunit ribosomal RNA
Source: RNAcentral
AAACGUAGGACGCGAGCGUUAUCCGGAUUUACUGGGCGUAAAGCGCGGGCAGGCGGUGGUCCAAGUCGGACGUGAAAGCUCCCGGCUCAACUGGGAGAGGUCGUUCGAAACUGGGCCGCUAGAGGGCAGUAGAGGGGCGUGGAAUUCCGGGUGGAGUGGUGAAAUGCGUAGAGAUCCGGAGGAACACCAGAGGCGAAGGCGGCGCCCUGGGCUGCACCUGACGCUGAGCCGCGAAAGCUAGGGGAGCGAACGGGAUUAGAAACCCCGGUAGUCCUAGCCGUAAACGAUGUCCACUAGAUGUCUGGGCGGAGCGCCUGGGCGUCGCAGCUAACGCGUUAAGUGGACCGCCUGGGGAGUACGGCCGCAAGGCUAAA